CUGGCCAUGAGGACAUGGACCAUCUGGACGGCGUGCAGUGUGCCCUGAGGAGAGGACUUCCCAAGUCCGUCAUGUGCUGGGGUUUGCCCGUCGUGAGCACGGCGCUGGUGCGUGGCUUCGAGUGUGGACCGCGAGGGAAGACAGAUGUGUCUCUUGCCUGGUUAUAAGCUGGAGCUGGCAAAACGGAGUGAUUUAAUGAAGUUUUGAUACAGUUCAUCAAAUACUGAAAUGGGAAGAUGCAAUAUUAAUUUAGGAACUCAUUAUCAUUUCAAUUGUAGUAGUUUUGAAGAGUGUUAAUAAGAGGAGCUUGUGGCAGUUUGGAAAGAUGAUGCAUUAUUCUAAAGGUGAAAAUAUUCUUCAAAAUUAUGUUUCAUUUGAUACCUAAACAUUGAGCAUAUUCUUGGUAUCACCAUGUAAUCAUUUUUGCCAUGUCUACCAUGCUAAGAGGAUGUCAUCACUUCAGCUGUUCCCUAUGCUGUGCUGCAGGCUUGUGAAGCGACCAAGCAAGAGGACUUGAGGACACUGGGUUGACAACUUUAUUUUUAAUCCUAAAUUCUUCUGUGGAAUCAAGUGACUUCAAACCCCAUUAAUGACAGCAGGACCUCUGCAAUCAAAAGCAGGAUGCAAAUGUGUCAUCUAAGCCGCGCUCCUGCGGUGUCAGGCUGACAUUUAGUGCACGUGGUGCUGACCACCAUUGCUCUGAUGCCUUUAAUCCCUCUGCACUGAACUUAGUGCACCUCGGGGAAAAUGAAUUGCUUCUUGUUCUGCUUAAAUAGCAGCA
This is a long non-coding RNA of Nothoprocta perdicaria, 781 nucleotides long. RefSeq lists it as uncharacterized. The transcript is spliced from 2 exons. The record is from RefSeq and is a predicted model, not a curated record. NCBI's taxonomy places the organism in Eukaryota, Metazoa, Chordata, Aves, Tinamiformes, Tinamidae.